RNAcentral lists this long non-coding RNA (279 nucleotides) under Hordeum vulgare. Its description in RNAcentral is "long non-coding RNA (HVUL_LNC015576)". The record is from RNAcentral. Lineage: Eukaryota; Viridiplantae; Streptophyta; Magnoliopsida; Poales; Poaceae.
CUUAUGCACAUGAUCACAGUGUCAUUGAGAUGCUUGUCAUAAGUUUCUCUGGGAGGGAGGCACCCUGGAUCUACAGGAUUGUAGCCAUGCUCGAGGAUGUCCAACAUCUCAUCAUUGUCGUACCUAAGAUGAUCCUGCAUACCAACUCUUCACAAAGCAAAAUCGGAAUUGUCAUCAAGCAAAGGAGGUUUUCCUCCAGGAUUGUACUUAGGUUUCUCAACUUGAGAUCUAGCAUAAAGCCAUGGAACACUGGUUUGGUUAUUUCCUGGAGGUUGUUGG